Molecule: ribosomal RNA, 251 nt
Filed under: uncultured Oscillospiraceae bacterium
Lineage: Bacteria; Bacillati; Bacillota; Clostridia; Eubacteriales; Oscillospiraceae
Description: partial 16S ribosomal RNA
Rfam family: Bacterial small subunit ribosomal RNA
Source: RNAcentral
UUACUUAGUGGCGGACUGGUGAGUAACGCGUGAGGAACCUGCCUUUCAGAGGGGGACAACAGUUGGAAACGACUGCUAAUACCGCAUGACGCAUGACCGGGGCAUCCCGGACAUGCCAAAGAUUUAUCGCUGAAAGAUGGCCUCGCGUCUGAUUAGCUGGUUGGCGGGGUAACGGCCCACCAAGGCGACGAUCAGUAGCCGGACUGAGAGGUUGACCGGCCACAUUGGGACUGAGAUACGGCCCAGACUCC